This 254-nucleotide ribosomal RNA is filed under the name uncultured bacterium. RNAcentral describes it as "partial 16S ribosomal RNA". It matches the Rfam family "Bacterial small subunit ribosomal RNA", at positions 524 to 776 of the family's 1533-position model. The record is from RNAcentral.
CACGUAGGGUGCGAGCGUUGUCCGGAAUUAUUGGGCGUAAAGAGCUCGUAGGCGGUGUGUCGCGUCGGCCGUGAAAACUUGGGGCUUAACUCUGAGCGUGCGGUCGAUACGGGCAUCACUUGAGUUCGGCAGGGGAGACUGGAAUUCCUGGUGUAGCGGUGAAAUGCGCAGAUAUCAGGAGGAACACCCGUGGCGAAAGCGGCUCUCUGGAACGGUACUGACGCUGAGACGCGAAAGCGUGGGGAGCGAACAGG